This 255-nucleotide ribosomal RNA is filed under the name uncultured bacterium. Its description in RNAcentral is "partial 16S ribosomal RNA". It matches the Rfam family "Bacterial small subunit ribosomal RNA", at positions 524 to 776 of the family's 1533-position model. The record is from RNAcentral.
UACGUAGGUGGCAAGCGUUUGUCCGGAAUUACUGGGCGUAAAGGGCGUGUAGGCGGCUUUUUUAAGCCAGACGUGAAAUCCCUAGGCUUAACCUAGGAACUGCGUUUGAAACUGGAUGGCUUGAGGACCGGAGAGGGCAGUGGAAUUCCCAGUGUAGCGGUGAAAUGCGUAGAUAUUGGGAGGAACACCAGUGGCGAAGGCGACUGCCUGGACGGCACCUGACGCUGAGGCGCGAAAGCUAGGGGAGCAAACGGG